RNAcentral lists this signal recognition particle RNA (101 nucleotides) under Parasynechococcus marenigrum WH 8102. Its description in RNAcentral is "Synechococcus sp. WH 8102 signal recognition particle RNA". It matches the Rfam family "Bacterial small signal recognition particle RNA". Rfam says of the family: The signal recognition particle (SRP) is a universally conserved ribonucleoprotein involved in the co-translational targeting of proteins to membranes. Archaeal SRP consists of a 7S RNA and homologues of the eukaryotic SRP19 and SRP54 proteins. Lineage: Bacteria; Bacillati; Cyanobacteriota; Cyanophyceae; Synechococcales; Prochlorococcaceae. The record is from RNAcentral.
GACUCGGGCCAUGCGGCUCGGACGCCCAAAUCUGGUCAGGACCGGAAGGGAGCAGCCACACGGGAUGCUCAGAGCAGGCGUGGACUCCGGGUCACCCAACU